GGAAUAUUGCACAAUGGAGGAAACUCUGAUGCAGCGACGCCGCGUGAGUGAAGGAGUAUUUCGGUAUGUAAAGCUCUAUCGGCAGGGAAGAAGAUGCCGGUACCUGCAGAAGAAGCCCCGGCUAACUACGUGCCAGCAGCCGCGGUAAUACGUAGGGGGCAAGCGUUAUCCGGAUUUACUGGGUGUAAAGGGAGCGUAGACGGAAUGGCAAGUUGGAUGUGAAAGGCAUGGGCUCAACCCGUGGACUGCAUUCAAAACUGUCAGUCUGGAGUAUCGGAAGGGCAGGCGGAAUUCCUGGUGUAGCGGUGAAAUGCGUAGAGAUCAGGAGGAACACCGGUGGCGAAGGCGGCCUGCUGGACGGUAACUGACGUUGAGGCUCGAAGGCGUGGGGAGCAAACA
This 399-nucleotide ribosomal RNA is filed under the name uncultured bacterium. RNAcentral describes it as "bacterial SSU rRNA". It matches the Rfam family "Bacterial small subunit ribosomal RNA", at positions 358 to 774 of the family's 1533-position model. The record is from RNAcentral.